Pelobates cultripes (western spadefoot toad) is the source of this 734-nucleotide non-coding RNA. NCBI's taxonomy places the organism in Eukaryota, Metazoa, Chordata, Amphibia, Anura, Pelobatidae. The record is from the annotation of a GenBank genome assembly.
UUGAUAUUAUUUUUAAGCUCCGCAGAAAGCAUUUGCCCCUUGUAAUCUUUCCAAAUGCUCAAUAUCUGAUCAUGAGCACGGGAAACCCAUACAGAGAUGGAGUGAAUUGCAAAGCGUUUGAGUGCAGCUGGUAAAAUAUUUUUUAGCAUCUUACUGCCCAUGAAAAUAGUAUUUCAGUAUCAUAAAAUAAUAUAACAUAAUGUAAUAUCAUAUCGUAUGCAUGCUGCGACAUAUCAGGAACAUAAACUGUAUCAAUCCACUUUUCAGGCAUGUUCUGGCCCCAAUAGUUGCAUUUAUUUUAUUUUUAGUGUGCUUGUUUCACAUUGGAUGCAAUUGAGGACAAGAUGUCUCCAAUUGUUGGUGGGUUUGAGAGAUACCAGAUCCAGAUGACCCUUGCUUUGGAUUGUGUAAUCAUGGCGCAGCAAAUUACUGGACAUCAGAACCAAGAGGAGAUUAACCUUGUCGUAUAGAGAGUGCUGAAAGGCUCAGCCUAAUCCGAUACCACCCAAAAUAUAAUUUCUAUGACAUUUAUAUCCUUGCAAUGAACUUUGUAAUAGAUUGUACACAGAGUAACUCCCUAUCUUCGUAUCUGGUAUCAACUUGACCAAGUUAUAGCUGAGAGGAAGCUUCAUCAACAUCAUCCAGAACUAAAUCGUCACACACAUUUCCCUUCCAUACUGUAUGUACCAAUAAAACAAUAGUGCAGGGGACUGGAUGUACACAGAUAAAGUUGC